UCAUGACAAUUUUCCGGUGAUAUAAUUAUCCAUUAUUGUCAGCCUCAGUUAGCCCAGCAGUGGAGUUAAGGUAAAUUAUGUUAAUUUAGUCCACUCUAUGUCGGCGUGGAAAAUAAGCAAUUGUUUAAAUAAUGCAGUAGUAGCUGUUACCACAUGAAUGGGUUGUCAACGCUUUAGCACUGAGAUCACGUAGUUGGCAGAUAAAUGUUUGAGAAGUUUUAAAACUAGCACGCCCACAUUCCUGUAAUUCAAAAUAAAGAAAAAAAGCUACGGACAGUUUAAGUAUCUUAUAUCUUCUCAAAGAUAUCUUACAGACAUACGGGGGCAAGGUACCUUGAAAAGAGAAUGUUAUAUACUUUAUGGAGCUCAGCAUUGCUUAAAUU
Molecule: long non-coding RNA, 383 nt
Organism: Orbicella faveolata
Lineage: Eukaryota; Metazoa; Cnidaria; Anthozoa; Scleractinia; Merulinidae
Source: RefSeq, a predicted model, not a curated record